GAUGAACGCUGGCGGCGUGCUUAACACAUGCAAGUCGAACGAAACACCUUAUUUGAUUUUCUUCGGAACUGAAGAUUUGGUGAUUGAGUGGCGGACGGGUGAGUAACGCGUGGGUAACCUGCCCUGUACAGGGGGAUAACAGUCAGAAAUGACUGCUAAUACCGCAUAAGACCACAGCACCGCAUGGUGCAGGGGUAAAAACUCCGGUGGUACAGGAUGGACCCGCGUCUGAUUAGCUGGUUGGUGAGGUAACGGCUCACCAAGGCGACGAUCAGUAGCCGGCUUGAGAGAGUGAACGGCCAAAUUGGGACUGAGACACGGCCCAAACUCCUACGGGAGGCAGCAGUGGGGAAUAUUGCACAAGGGGGGAAACCCUGAUGCAGCGACGCCGCGUGAGUGAAGAAGUAUUUCGGUAUGUAAAGCUCUAUCAGCAGGGAAGAAAAUGACGGUACCUGACUAAGAAGCCCCGGCUAACUACGUG
RNAcentral lists this ribosomal RNA (481 nucleotides) under uncultured bacterium. RNAcentral's name for it is "partial 16S ribosomal RNA". It matches the Rfam family "Bacterial small subunit ribosomal RNA", at positions 28 to 507 of the family's 1533-position model. The record is from RNAcentral.